Molecule: non-coding RNA, 28 nt
Filed under: Mus musculus (house mouse)
Lineage: Eukaryota; Metazoa; Chordata; Mammalia; Rodentia; Muridae
Source: RNAcentral
UGUUUUGACCAUUUCUUGAACCAUGUGU